This 555-nucleotide ribosomal RNA is filed under the name uncultured bacterium. Its description in RNAcentral is "bacterial SSU rRNA". It matches the Rfam family "Bacterial small subunit ribosomal RNA", at positions 338 to 873 of the family's 1533-position model. The record is from RNAcentral.
CCUACGGGAGGCAGCAGUGGGGAAUAUUGCGCAAUGGGCGGAAGCCUGACGCAGCGACGCCGCGUGGGGGAUGACGGCCUUCGGGUUGUAAACCCCUUUCAGCAUCGACGAAGCUYCAUCYUUUYGGGGUGGGGUGACGGUAGGUGCAGAAGAAGCGCCGGCUAACUACGUGCCAGCAGCCGCGGUAAUACGUAGGGCGCGAGCGUUGUCCGGAAUUAUUGGGCGUAAAGAGCUCGUAGGCGGUCUGUCGCGUCUGUCGUGAAAGCCCACGGCUUAACUGUGGGUCUGCGGUGGAUACGGGCAGGCUAGAGGCAGGUAGGGGAGCAUGGAAUUCCCGGUGUAGCGGUGAAAUGCGCAGAUAUCGGGAGGAACACCGGUGGCGAAGGCGGUGCUCUGGGCCUGUUCUGACGCUGAGGAGCGAAAGCGUGGGGAGCGAACAGGAUUAGAUACCCUGGUAGUCCACGCCGUAAACGUUGGGSGCUAGGUGUGGGGUUCUUCCACGGAUUCCGCGCCGUAGCUAACGCAUAAGCGCCCCGCCCKGGGARWSGCMACCKU